CCUACGGGCGGCUGCAGUGGGGAAUAUUGGACAAUGGGGGCAACCCUGAUCCAGCCAUGCCGCGUGUGUGAAGAAGGCCCUCGGGUUGUAAAGCACUUUCAGUGAGGAAGAACGCCUGGUGGUUAAUACCCAUCAGGAAAGACAUCACUCACAGAAGAAGCACCGACUAACUCCGUGCCAGCAGCCGCGGUAAUACGGAGGGUGCGAGCGUUAAUCGGAAUUACUGGGCGUAAAGCGCGCGUAGGUGGCUUGAUAAGCCGGUUGUGAAAGCCCCGGGCUCAACCUGGGAACGGCAUCCGGAACUGUCAAGCUAGAGUGCAGGAGAGGAAGGUAGAAUUCCCGGUGUAGCGGUGAAAUGCGUAGAGAUCGGGAGGAAUACCAGUGGCGAAGGCGGCCUUCUGGACUGACACUGACACUGAGGUGCGAAAGCGUGGGUAGCAAACAGGAUUAGAUACCCUUGUAGUC
This 465-nucleotide ribosomal RNA is filed under the name Vreelandella stevensii. RNAcentral's name for it is "partial 16S ribosomal RNA". It matches the Rfam family "Bacterial small subunit ribosomal RNA", at positions 338 to 795 of the family's 1533-position model. Lineage: Bacteria; Pseudomonadati; Pseudomonadota; Gammaproteobacteria; Oceanospirillales; Halomonadaceae. The record is from RNAcentral.